CGAAUAAGAUCACGCUCGCCUCCUCCUCCUCCUCCCCUCUCAUCCCGUCUCCCUCCCGAAUUGGGGAUCUCGCGAGUCGCGACGAACCAAACCGAUCGAAACCCUAGCUAGGGUUUCGCCGCACCACCACCACCACCUCCCCGGCCGCUCCCCACCGCCGCCGCCGCCAUGUACAACGGCAUCAGGUCUCCAGACCGCGCGGGGGUCGGGCACGAAUGGGUACGUGCAGACCAACAAGUUCUUCAUCAAGCCGCGGUCGUCGUCGGCGGGCGGGCCCCCGAGGGCGGCGCCGGCCCCGGGGUUCGACGACGCCGGCGGGGGCCUCGGCGGGAUGCGGAAGCCGAACAAGGAGAUCCUGGAGCACGACCGGAAGCGGCAGGUGGAGCUGCGGCUGCUCCUGCUGAGGGACGCGCUCGAGGAGCAGGGGUACACGGAGGGGGAGAUCGAGGAGCGCGUCGAGGAGGCGCGCAAGGAGGCCGAGAUCGAGGCCGCGGCGGCCGCGGCCGCCGAGGAGGAAGGACGCGGCGCGGGGCGGCAGCCACUCCCGGGCAAAGGUUUUUCAGACACACAAAGCCACCACGUUGCUGCAAGGAAGGAGAAGCAGCUUGAGACGCUGAGGGCUGCUCUUGGUUUGGAUGUUGAUGAUAAAGCGAAGAAGAACGCUGAUGUAGAAAGUGAUGUGGAAUCUGGGGAGCUUGUUCCUGGGAAGGAGUAUGAAGGUUUGGAAAUAGAUGGGCCAGAAGAUGGCAAGACUUUAAAGGAUGACAGAAGGCAUGCAAAGAAGGGUAAGAAGGAUAAAGGGAGUGAUGCAAAGAGUCAUGGCAAAAGUUCUAGGAAGAUUAAACUUGGUCAUGAUUCAGAUUCAGAUCAUGAUGAUAACAAGAAGAAGAAGAAGAAUUCUCGCUAUGGUUCAGAAGAUGAUUCUGAGGCUAAAUAUGAUGAAAAGAAGCACAGUAAACACUUGAAGAAUUCUCGCCAUGAUACAGAUGAUGAUUCUGAGAGUGACCAUAAGAAUGCAAAGUGUAAAAAGAGUUCUCGCCAUGAUUCAGAGUCUGAUUCUGAGAGUGAUCAUAAGAAUGCAAGGCGUGGAAAGAGCUCUCGCCAUGAUUCAGAGUCUGAUUCAGAUGGUGAUUAUGGCAAGAAGACAACAAAACAUGGCAAGAACGAUCGUGAUGAGAGAAAGAAAAGGCCUGCCACGAUCUCUCGCCGACAUGACUCAGAAGAUGAAAAGCCUAGAAAGGGUAAGCGCAUGGAUGAUUCAGAUACUGACUCGGAGGGUGAUGGUUCGUUCAGUGAGUCGGACAGCGACUAUGAUCGGAAGAAGAAGAAAUCUACAAAUAGUUCUCGCAAUGAAUCUAAAGAUGAUAAGCCCCGAAGAAAGGCUCCUAAGGACAAGUAUUCUGAUGGCCCAGAAAGUGGCUCAGACAGUGAUCAUGGUGGAAAAUCAAAGUAUUCAAAGAUUUCUCGCCGUGAUUCUGAACUUCAGUCCCGAAAGGAUGCUGAUAAACAGGACCAGUACCGUGAUAAAUUGAAGAGUGAGUUUGCUAGCGAUGGCUAUGGAGAGAAGAAAUCUGUUAAGAUCCCAUACAAUGACUUGAAAGAUGACAAGCCAAGCAGCAAGGUUGUUCGGAAGGACCGGUACAGUGAUGAAUCAGAGACUGAUUCAGAAACUUAUGUUAAGAAAAAGAAGAAUCUUCCGAAGUCCUAUCACCAUAGUGAUAAACCAGCACAAAGAGGUAAAGAAAAGGAAGAGAACUCUGGAAAGAAUGUUGAUAAGCGCAAGAGGCAUGAUACUGAUUCUGAUUCAGAUAGCCAUGCUCGUGAAAGGAAAAGACACCUUGAUGCACGGGCGAGUUUGGCUGCCCAAAAGAAAAGAAGUGUGACUAGCUCAAGUGAGAGUUCAGAGAGUUCAGAUUACAGCAGUAGCAGUGAUAGUGAAUCAGAUGUGAGUUCUGACAGCCGCGAGGAUAGGAAAUCAGCAAGACAGUUGAAGCAUGAUGAGUUAGAGAGAAAGAAAAGGAGUCAAGACGAGAAGAGAAAGGAGCUAGAGAAGCAAAAGCAGGAGGAAGAGAGAAAAGAGCUGGACAGGCAGAAGCAGAGGGAGGAAGAGAGAAAGGCUAAAGAGCUUGAGAAGCAGAAGCAGAGGGAGGAAGAGAGAAAGGCAUUGGAGAAGCAGAAGCAGGGGGAGAGGGACGGAGAUAGAUAUGAGCGUGACCAUGAGGGGAGGAAAGGCGAAAAUGAUGUUGAAAGAGACUACAAAAGAAAAGUUGGAGAAGAUAGGUAUGAUCCAAGCAGGAGGCAGGAUGAGGAUAGGUAUGAUCCAAACAGGAGACAUGAUGAAGAUAUGUAUGAUCCAAAUAGGAGGCAUGAAGAACAUGGUCGACGAAGAAAUAGAGAUUUUGAUAGCCGUGAUCCGAAAAGGUCUAGACAUGAUGAUUCUUAUCAUCAUUCUCGAAGGGACUAUGAACAGCGUUAUUCUAGAGAUGAAUAUAGAGACAGGAGGCAUCGUUGAAUGCAAGUCAUGUCCAUCUCUGGUUUCUUCAAGCAGAAGAGGGAUGCAUCUUUACAUGAACCGAGCAGAUGAUCGAUGUCCUGCUCCCUCAAGUUUUUCAGAGUCCUACCAGAAGAAGACUUGAUGCAGCAGUAAAUCUCUCCUAGCAGUAGAGAACCUUUUGCCUCAGGAAUGUACGUUUGCUUAUGUUUGUAUGAACUUUCAUACUUGUUGUUUUGUUGUGUGAAUGAUCAAUAUGUAUUCUGGUGGAUAUAAUUACCUUGUGUCUGCAAGAAAUAUAUGAUUUAACACUGUGCCCAUGUGGUUUAGUGGCUUAGUGCUGAACAGCAUCA
Non-coding RNA from Oryza sativa Japonica Group (Japanese rice), 2844 nucleotides. The record is from RefSeq and is a predicted model, not a curated record. NCBI's taxonomy places the organism in Eukaryota, Viridiplantae, Streptophyta, Magnoliopsida, Poales, Poaceae.